UCAUUUUAAAGGGACGGGCUCUUUUCCUUUAUGCGUGCUCUGCUCGAUCUAGACGGGCAUGGCGCCGUCGGCGGCGGCAGGUCUUUUUCUCCGGCCAUCCGCCGGCCUGUUCUCCUUCCCCUCCCGAUCCGCCCCUAAUACUCUCCGGCGCCACCCGCAGCCUCUUCAAUCUCGAACCUCCUGCACAUGUGUCGUGCUUCUCUGACUGGGAUCAGAGUUGGAUUUUGUGUCCUCAAAUCCAUGGAGUAGCCACCAAAUUCCGUCGAAUCGCCGCGUCAACCUCCCCGCGGCGGCCGCGCCGCCCAGGAACCCCAGCCAUCGCUCCUGCCAGGCCAGGCUCCGCUGCCGAGGUCCCGCGUCGCCAUUUGAUCCCCAAGUGCCUAUCCGCCAUCUCAACGGCCUCACCCAGCGAGCUCGCCUGGACCCUGAGGUCAUUGGAGCGAGCCUCCACCAGGCCACCCGACGCGCCAAUGAUCCCGUGUGCUGCCGCUCGAAGCUCCCCUGCUCGCUGCCCUCCACGCACCGCCGCCCUGGCCUAGCAGAUUAAUGGAGGGCGCGACCAACUUUGGUUCGUGCCUCGGUGCUCCUCGCCGUUCACCAGCUGCCGCAUCCAACUUCUCCACUAUGGGAGUUCAUUAUGGCACCGUACAACCACCAAUUAAUAGAGAACAUGGGGGAAGGGAAAGGAGAUGAUGCAGCCGGCGCUAUGUCGAACCAUCGACGCGGCAGACGCAGCAUACAAAUGCCCUGUAGGUGGCCGGACCUGGGGAUCUCCAUCAAGGUCGACAACGAGUUGUAGUACUGUGUCCAGCCAACAACUCCUUUUGCUUCUCAGGGGAGGACACUGGUCGUUUGGUUAAAAAAAGGAGUGUGGGAACUCGUCAUCCUUUCUCAAACAUUCUCACUCAGUCAAGUGCCAAGGCAACAAGACGAUGAGUUCAGUGCAAGUCUUCAGGCUGUAGGGCUAAUCAUAGGCAAAGAAGUCUGGACUUCCGUGGGUUUGCAUGAACGAUUUUGAAAUGAAGAAUAGUUGUUAAGUUAUUAUUUUUGCUAGAAGAGUAGCGUCGCAAAAGAGUAUUGCUGGGGAAGUAACUGGAGCACAUGCUACUAUUUUUAUAGGAAAGACCCUAAAUGACCCAACUUUUGCAAUCUACAGAUGUUGCUUAUGAAAUCGGUAGAGCCAUGCAUCUGCAAUUAUCUAUUAGCAACAUCAGGAGAGGUUCAAGAUUACAUUCAAGGAGAGAACACAAGCAUGAUGAUACUCAAUAAAGUGAAGCAAUGGGCAGACUUGCAAGAGAGGGAGUAGUCCGGGCCUAUCACACAAUGUAAAUAUGUGAACUGCUCUUUGCAAAAUCGCUACAAAAUUCAUGUUAAUUUCCUGCAAAUGAAUAAGGUAUGAUUUUUUUGUAUGAAUUUCUAUUUUGCGUUGUCUAGGCUUUGCAAGGUGGCCAUGACUAAUAUUAUUGUAAAAAGCACUGUAACUUUUGCCUCGAAUGAAACAAGGUCUUUGGGCGAGACAGUAAGCACCCAAAACAUUUUUUCUUGCUUCUUUCUUGAAUUUCCGGUUAUCCUCUAUUCCCCUGCUUCUUUUUCACUGGUUGUGAAUCAUCCGUUGCUGUCACUAAAUUCAUGUUGGAAUAUCUACAUCGAUUUGACAUAAGCACAUUGAUGAGAGUGCUUGAAGCUGCCACAGUUAAGCUAGAGCUAUUUUAUUUUAUUUUUAUUUUGCGAAGAAGAGCCAUCUCAAUUUAAAGUGUGAGCUGUUUGUGUUUUCAAUACCAGACCUGUUAUCGAUUUUUAUUUUUUUGUAGUGAAGCUAGCUGCUGUUAUGUUGGAAACCGAACUUACUGCAUCUAGAAAAGAAUACUCAUUGUGCCACCAGUUAGUAGCAAUUAAUCGAAUCCCGAUGGUUAGAAGCAGGUUUCACUUUUUAUGCUGAAAACUUCUAUUAUUAUUUUCCUUGAUGAGUUUUGAUUUGUUCCAAUUGCUGAUUGGCUGGCUUGGUUUUAUGAUUUUCCGAGUAUUUUUCUAUUAUGACAUUCUUAUAUUCCUUCUUUUUGCGGGUUAACAUUCUUAUAUUCGUCUUCAUAUACAAUUGGAUAGUUUUGCUUUUCUUCAGGCUGGGGGCUCAUAUCUCUCCCUAAUAAUAAAGCACGGAUAGGGUCUCCGGGUUCACCGUCGUGCACUUUUGUAAAGAAACCCCUGUUGAUUUCGGUAUUGUACGCGCAGUCCUCACAAUAAGUUAACACGAACCGGUACGCCAGAGAAAAGGAAAGAAAAUCAGCCCCCCUCUCCCCGCACGCCCUGCCUCCCAAUCCCAUCUCCAACCCCUGCCACGCCCCUCACCGCGCGCCGCCGUGCGCCACCACCAGCCACCACGCCGGCGCGCCUACCCCUCCCCGACCGGCUACACGCAGAUGAUGCUCGAGUGCACCUUCUGGCUCGGUUCAAUGCGGCGGCUCGAGCGGUUGGGGGUGGCACAGCAGCUCGAUGCAGAACAGACGGCGGCGGCUGGAGCUUGCAGGGGCGGAUCCGUGCAUGGCAGGGGUUGGGGAGGCUGAUCCGAAAGCGGGCGGCGAGGAGGGGGUCGCCGGUGGCGACGAGGAAAGCCGGAGUGAGGGAUCCGGCGACCUAGGCAGGAGCUCGCCGGAGCUGGGCGACGGCAGACGGGCGCGUGAGACGGAGGGAUCCGGCGUGGCAGCACGAAUUUCUUGCAGGUAGAUAGCUCCAAGCCAUGCCAGCUCUUCAGUUUUCCCUGGUGGAAAAGAGAGAAAGAGGAGGAUUCAGGGAGGAGGAGAGGUAGGGAGAAGAAGGUGCAGGUGCGAGCUUGGGGAAGAGGGAGCAGAACGUCAAGUGAGAGACUGUGAGGAUCAGGGAUUCUUGUUAGCCAGCAUGGUAAGGUGGAGAGGCUGCUUAGGGAACAUGUGCGUACAUCCUUGCUCCUUUUCUUCUUUCAGUUGUAUGUACUUUCCAGCAGGCGUGUACAUCCUUGCUCCUUCUCUUAUUUUGAUUUUAGGUACUCUCCAGUAUUCAAUGUGCAUGUAGAACCGUAGAGAAUCAGCUAGAUAUUUUACUACUGUAUAAGGUGUGGAGUGCUGAGAGUGGCAUUUAUAUUGCUGCAAAUGCAGUAUAUGAUUUAUGCAGCAGAGAGGAGGCUGCAAGGGGAGAGGAACGGUGCAUUGAGGUUGAGGUACACAGGACACAUCGGGACCCGGGAGCUCCAGAAGAGGCUCGAUCGAUCUUGACAAGAACAGACUAUAUAUAGUGCAGAGAAGAUGAACCAUGCAAAAACUCAGGCUGGACCACCGGGGCUUCACUGCUGGCGGAACAGUAGAGGGCUUGGCUGCUACCAGGGUGAUCCAAAUGGAGCGUGUUUGUGGCCUCUUGCACUGCAUGAUUAAUGGUAGCUUCUAUUACAUGACAUGAUUUUUGCAGCUGACAUGUUUCAUGCGAGAGGACAUAAAUUUGCAUCCUAUUUUUCUGUCCAAUUGGUUCCAAAUCACAAAUGUUUGUGCUAUCAGUGACAAUUUGAUGGAAAAGACGAGUCAUAUAUACAGCCAAUGAAAGCUUUCACAUCAGCCGUUGCUCUUGAUUGUCUUUGCAAGUCCAUAGAUAUAAUUUUUAUGAUUUUCCUUUACUCAUAGUAAGUACUGAAUAUUUUGUGCUUCAACCCUUUAGGUGUUAAUUUCUGUGAUGCAGCUAGCAAAGUUGGCAAUAGGUACAGUACUAUAACCAUCAUGAUCUGCACAGGGAUAUCACCUAGGUGCAUAAAUCAUAAUCAUUCAGUUUUUAUUUGGCAAGCUGGAGCUACCCAGAACUUCCGAUUUUGGUGCCAAGAUGGAUGGAUUGAACCGGGUGACCCACUGUCAGGUAUUAUUGUUCAGUUAUCCUGAGGGUAAUGUGGAUAUGUUCUGUUUGAGAUCAAAGCUUGGUAUUGCUAGAAAAUAUAUAUAUGUGCACUGAGAUUUCAAAUAUAUAACAGCACUGAUACAACGUAAGGUUUCCCUUGCUAUCGUACAUUUUUUCAUUACUAUCAUAACCUUUUUAGAUCAAGCAUGUCAUGCAUUACAUUUCAUUAUGUAUGUUGCAACUUCAAGACCACAAUGCCUCUGUAUGUAACAUCUGUAUGCUGAUUAUUUUUUGGAAUUGAAUUAUGUAUUCAAAGCUAUUGUUCAGCAUAUACAUCGUUUGAAAAUCAUACAAGGGGCAAAAUUUAUAUGUACCCUUCUGUUUUAAUAUAUGGCUAUAAAUGGAUUAACUGAGCCAAAGGCAGUGCCUUUUCAUACGAAUAUAUGUGUACGACAUCUUGAGAUAAUCAUAUAUGUUUGCCGGCAGAAUAUAUGUGCAUUGAACUACAAAUAAAUUUAUUUGUGGGACUUGAUGCCGGAUAUAUACAUAUUGCAUGUUCUCUUAGGGCAUCUGCAAUUGAUGGACGCCAGGAUUUAUUUUCCGAUAGACCGGCAGUUGUGUUAGUUGUUCCCAGUGUGCCCGGUACCAAUAGAUGCAUUGAGCGCUUUCUCUUUUCCUGGGCACGCGAGUAAAGAAACGGGUUGCCGGGCCUACGUAUUUAGAGCCGCUGAUAAGCGCCUAGCAUUGAAUGAGAAGGCGCUUACUUUUUUCUUAAUUUUUUGAUGUUUAACUUUUUACUCUUAAGUGCCUACACAAGAGUCUAGCAUUGCAGAUGUCCUUAAGCUAUAGGCUAUCGUAGUGGUUUUACCAAUCACAAAUAAGCGACCAAUGAUGAAACAAUAGUACAAAUUUAGAGCACAAUACAUCAUGAUCUAUUG
Long non-coding RNA from Triticum aestivum (bread wheat), 4787 nucleotides. RefSeq lists it as uncharacterized. The transcript has 6 exons. The record is from RefSeq and is a predicted model, not a curated record. NCBI's taxonomy places the organism in Eukaryota, Viridiplantae, Streptophyta, Magnoliopsida, Poales, Poaceae.